GAUCGAAUUGAUUUAAUUCAUGUUUUAUUUAAACUUUAGUAUUUAUUUACUUCAUAUACGUAUAUAUAUUUGUUGUUUUAAAUCCGUUUGAAUAGGGCCCGUUGAACACGUGUAGAAGCUACAAGCAGCUAUUCGAACCUCUCAAAUCCGUAAUUAUUUGAGCAAUUCUAGCACCUAGCAGCGAUCAGUGUCGCAUUUAGGGGGUAAGUAAUCUGGUUAACUGGUUCACGCUGAUGAAUUC
This 241-nucleotide long non-coding RNA is filed under the name Carica papaya (papaya). RNAcentral describes it as "long non-coding RNA (CPAP_LNC011533)". The record is from RNAcentral. Lineage: Eukaryota; Viridiplantae; Streptophyta; Magnoliopsida; Brassicales; Caricaceae.